This 990-nucleotide long non-coding RNA is filed under the name Carica papaya (papaya). RNAcentral describes it as "long non-coding RNA (CPAP_LNC014177)". The record is from RNAcentral. Lineage: Eukaryota; Viridiplantae; Streptophyta; Magnoliopsida; Brassicales; Caricaceae.
GGAGAUUGAACAGCUGCUGGGAGCUUUGCCAGAGUUCUACUAGACAAAAGGAGGGAACUUUUUUGGGGGCAAAAUAAAGUUAGUAGAGAUCACCAAGUUUGGUUGGCCAUUGGAGGAAGCUAAAGGGGAAAAUUUCUGGUGAUUACUGAGAAGAAAGGGGAGGAAAGUAGGAGAGUUUUUAUCCUGAGGGACCCCAAGCGGGCGGAUGGUGGUAGCCCUAUAUGAGAUGGUGGAUUGGCCACCAGCACAGUAGAUUUGGAAAUUUGGGGGCAUGAAACAUGUGAGUACGGAUAGGGUGGAGCAAAGCUUGGUAGUGGCUCAAGCAACCAUAUUCUGUGCAUGGUGAGUUGCCCAAGCUGUAAGUUAGUCAUGAAAAUGAUGGUGGAGGUGAUUGGCGCAUGUUAUACUGAUGUGCUGACAAAAGGAGGGAACUUUUUUGGGGGCAAAAUAAAGUUAGUAGAGAUCACCAAGUUUGGUUGGCCAUUGGAGGAAGCUAAAGGGGAAAAUUUCUGGUGAUUACUGAGAAGAAAGGGGAGGAAAGUAGGAGAGUUUUUAUCCUGGAGGGACCCCAAGCGGGCGGAUGGUGGUAGCCCUAUAUGAGAUGGUGGAUUGGCCACCAGCACAGUAGAUUUGGAAAUUUGGGGGCAUGAAACAUGUGAGUACGGAUAGGGUGGAGCAAAGCUUGGUAGUGGCUCAAGCAACCAUAUUCUGUGCAUGGUGAGUUGCCCAAGCUGUAAGUUAGUCAUGAAAAUGAUGGUGGAGGUGAUUGGCGCAUGUUAUACUGAUGUGCUGACAAAAGGAGGGAACUUUUUUGGGGGCAAAAUAAAGUUAGUAGAGAUCACCAAGUUUGGUUGGCCAUUGGAGGAAGCUAAAGGGGAAAAUUUCUGGUGAUUACUGAGAAGAAAGGGGAGGAAAGUAGGAGAGUUUUUAUCCUGGAGGGACCCCAAGCGGGCGGAUGGUGGUAGCCCUAUAUGAGAUGGUGGAUUGGCC